RNAcentral lists this ribosomal RNA (496 nucleotides) under uncultured bacterium. Its description in RNAcentral is "partial 16S ribosomal RNA". It matches the Rfam family "Bacterial small subunit ribosomal RNA", at positions 28 to 507 of the family's 1533-position model. The record is from RNAcentral.
GAUGAACGCUGGCGGCGUGCCUAAUACAUGCAAGUCGAGCGAACGGACGAGAAGCUUGCUUCUCUGAUGUUAGCGGCGGACGGGGGGGUAACAGUUGGAAAACUAACUUUAAAAAUGGGGAAAAUUCGGGAAAACGGGAGUUAAAACGGGAAAAUUUUUGGAACGCAAGGGUUCAAAAGGAAAAGAGGGCUUUGCGGUAACUAUAGGAUGGACCGCGCUGCAUUAGCUAGUUGGUAAGGUAACGGCUUACCAAGGCAACGAUGCAUAGCCGACCUGAGAGGGUGAUCGGCCACACUGGAACUGAGACACGGUCCAGACUCCUACGGGAGGCAGCAGUAGGGAAUCUUCCGCAAUGGGCGAAAGCCUGACGGAGCAACGCCGCGUGAGUGAUGAAGGUCUUCGGAUCGUAAAACCCUGUUAUUAGGGAAGAACAUAUGUGUAAGUAACUGUGCACAUCUUGACGGUACCUAAUCAGAAAGCCACGGCUAACUACGUG